This 456-nucleotide ribosomal RNA is filed under the name uncultured bacterium. RNAcentral describes it as "bacterial SSU rRNA". It matches the Rfam family "Bacterial small subunit ribosomal RNA", at positions 340 to 786 of the family's 1533-position model. The record is from RNAcentral.
UACGGGAGGCAGCAGGGGGAAUAUUGGACAAUGGGCGCAAGCCUGAUCCAGCCAUACCGCGUGGGUGAAGAAGGCCUUCGGGUUGUAAAGCCCUUUUGUUGGGAAAGAAAUCCAGCCGGCUAAUACCUGGUUGGGAUGACGGUACCCAAAGAAUAAGCACCGGCUAACUUCGUGCCAGCAGCCGCGGUAAUACGAAGGGUGCAAGCGUUACUCGGAAUUACUGGGCGUAAAGCGUGCGUAGGUGGUCGUUUAAGUCUGUUGUGAAAGCCCUGGGCUCAACCUGGGAACUGCAGUGGAAACUGGACGACUAGAGUGUGGUAGAGGGUAGCGGAAUUCCUGGUGUAGCAGUGAAAUGCGUAGAGAUCAGGAGGAACAUCCAUGGCGAAAGGCAGCUACCUGGACCAACACUGACACUGAGGCACGAAAGCGUGGGGAGCAAACGAGGGAUUAGAUACC